RNAcentral lists this ribosomal RNA (253 nucleotides) under uncultured bacterium. Its description in RNAcentral is "partial 16S ribosomal RNA". It matches the Rfam family "Bacterial small subunit ribosomal RNA", at positions 524 to 776 of the family's 1533-position model. The record is from RNAcentral.
UACAGGGGGGGCAAGCGUUGUUCGGAAUUACUGGGCGUAAAGGGUCUGUAGGUGGCUUGCUAAGUCAGACGUGAAAUCCCUCAGCUUAACUGGGGAACUGCGUCUGAUACUGGCAAGCUUGAGUGCAGGAGAGGAACGCGGAAUUCCUGGUGUAGCGGUGAAAUGCGUAGAUAUCAGGAGGAACACCAGUGGCGAAGGCGGAUCUCUGGACCAGUUCUGACACUGAUGAGCGAAAGCCAGGGGAGCAAACAGG